GAUGAACGCUAGCGGAAGGCCUAACACAUGCAAGUCGAGCGGUAUUUGGUAGCUUGCUACUAGAGAGAGCGGCGAACGGGUGCGUAACAUGUGUGCAACCUACCCUUAUGAAGGGGAUAGCCAUUCUAAAGGAUGAUUAAUACCCUAUAAUAUAUCAGGUGGCAUCAUUUGAUAUUGAAAGCUACGGUGGAUAAGGAUGGGCACGCACAACAUUAGCUAGUUGGUAAGGUAACGGCUUACCGAGGCGAUGAUCUUUAGGGGUCCUGAGAGGGGGAUCCCCACACUGGGACUGAUACACGGCCCAUACUCCUACGGGAGGCAACAAUGAGGAAUAUUGGACAAUGGGUGGGAGCCUGAUCCAGCCAUUCCGCGUGCAGGAAGAAUGUCUUAUGGAUUGUAAACUGCUUUUAUAUAGGGAUAAACCUACUCUCGAGAGGGUAGCUGAAGGUACUAUAUGAAUAAGCACCGGCUAACUCCAUGCCAGCAGCCGCGGUAAUACUGAGGGUGCAAGCGUUAUCCCGACUUAUUGUGUUUCAAGGGUCCGUACGCGGGUGAUUAAGUCAGUGGUGAAAUCUCAUAGCUCAACUAUGAAACUGCCAUUGAUACUGGUAGUCUUGAGUAUAUUUGAAGUAGCUGGAAUAGGUAGUGUAGCGGUGAAAUGCAUAGAUAUUACUUAGAACACCAAUAGCGAAGGCAGGUUACUAAGAUAUUACUGACGCUGAGGGACGAGAGCGUAGGGAGCGAACAGGAUUAGAUACCCUGGUAGUCUACGCUGUAAACGAUGCUAACUCGUUUUUGGUAUUUAGGUAUCAGAGACUAAGCGAAAGUGAUAAGUUAGCCACCUGGGGAGUACGCUCGCAAGAGUGAAACUCAAAGGAAUUGACGGGGGCCCGCACAAGCGGUGGAUUAUGUGGUUUAAUUCGAUGAUACGCGAGGAACCUUACCAAGACUUAAAUGGGAAUUGACAGCUAUAGAGAUAUGGUUUUUUUCGGACAAUUUUCAAGGUGCUGCAUGGUUGUCGUCAGCUCGUGCCGUGAGGUGUUAGGUUAAGUCCUGCAACGAGCGCAACCCUUGUCACUAGUUGCCAUCAUUAAGUUGGGGACUCUAGCGAGACUGCCUACGCAAGUAGAGAGGAAGGUGGGGAUGACGUCAAAUCAUCACGGCCCUUAUGUCUUGGGCCACACACGUAAUACAAUGGGCGAUACAGAGGGCAGCUACACAGCGAUGUGAUGCGAAUCUCGAAAGUCGUUCUCAGUUCGGAUUGGAGUCUGCAACUGGACUCCAUGAAGCUGGAAUCGGUAGUAAUCGCGUAUCAGCCAUGACGCGGUGAAUACGUUCCCGGCCCU
This 1346-nucleotide ribosomal RNA is filed under the name uncultured bacterium. Its description in RNAcentral is "bacterial SSU rRNA". It matches the Rfam family "Bacterial small subunit ribosomal RNA", at positions 28 to 1381 of the family's 1533-position model. The record is from RNAcentral.